AAGGUGANGCCUGCCCAGUGACCCAGUGUUUAACGGCCGCGGUAUCCUAACCGUGCAAAGGUAGCGCAAUCAAUUGUCCCAUAAAUCGAGACUUGUAUGAAUGGCUAAACGAGGUCUUAACUGUCUCUUGCAGGCAAUCGGUGAAAUUGAUCUCCCUGUGCAAAAGCAGGGAUAACCACAUAAGACGAGAAGACCCUGUGGAACUUAAAAAUCAGCAGCCACCCUGAAUCACAUUCACACCCACUGGGUUUACGCACCUAAAAGGGACUGGCCUGCAUUUUUCGGUUGGGGCGACCUUGGAGAAAAACAAAUCCUCCAAAAAUUGGACCACAACUCUAGACCAAGAGCAACUACUCAACGUGCUAACAGCACCCAGAUCCAAUAUAAUUGAUCAAUGGACCAAGCUACCCCAGGGAUAACAGCGCAAUCUCCUCCAAGAGUCCAUAUCGACGGGGAGGUUUACGACCUCGAUGUUGGAUCAGGACAUCCUAGUGGUGCAGCAGCUACUAAGGGUUCG
Molecule: ribosomal RNA, 517 nt
Filed under: Lanius collaris (Southern fiscal)
Lineage: Eukaryota; Metazoa; Chordata; Aves; Passeriformes; Laniidae
Description: partial 16S ribosomal RNA
Rfam family: Bacterial large subunit ribosomal RNA
Source: RNAcentral